ACAUGCAAGUCGAGCGAACAGACAAGGAGCUUGCUCCUUUGACGUUAGCGGCGGACUGGUGAGUAACACGUGGGUAACCUACCUAUAAGACUGGGAUAACUUCGGGAAACCGGAGCUAAUACCGGAUAAUAUUUCGAACCGCAUGGUUCGAUAGUGAAAGAUGGUUUUGCUAUCACUUAUAGAUGGACCCGCGCCGUAUUAGCUAGUUGGUAAGGUAACGGCUUACCAAGGCGACGAUACGUAGCCGACCUGAGAGGGUGAUCGGCCACACUGGAACUGAGACACGGUCCAGACUCCUACGGGAGGCAGCAGUAGGGAAUCUUCCGCAAUGGGCGAAAGCCUGACGGAGCAACGCCGCGUGAGUGAUGAAGGUCUUCGGAUCGUAAAACUCUGUUAUUAGGGAAGAACAUACGUGUAAGUAACUGUGCACGUCUUGACGGUACCUAAUCAGAAAGCCACGGCUAACUACGUGCCAGCAGCCGCGGUAAUACGUAGGUGGCAAGCGUUAUCCGGAAUUAUUGGGCGUAAAGCGCGCGUAGGCGGUUUUUUAAGUCUGAUGUGAAAGCCCACGGCUCAACCGUGGAGGGUCAUUGGAAACUGGAAAACUUGAGUGCAGAAGAGGAAAGUGGAAUUCCAUGUGUAGCGGUGAAAUGCGCAGAGAUAUGGAGGAACACCAGUGGCGAAGGCGACUUUCUGGUCUGUAACUGACGCUGAUGUGCGAAAGCGUGGGGAUCAAACAGGAUUAGAUACCCUGGUAGUCCACGCCGUAAACGAUGAGUGCUAAGUGUUAGGGGGUUUCCGCCCCUUAGUGC
Molecule: ribosomal RNA, 812 nt
Filed under: Staphylococcus sp. A1.10
Lineage: Bacteria; Bacillati; Bacillota; Bacilli; Caryophanales; Staphylococcaceae
Description: bacterial SSU rRNA
Rfam family: Bacterial small subunit ribosomal RNA
Source: RNAcentral